UUGUUCGGAAUUACUGGGCGUAAAGGGAGCGUAGACGGUUCUGCAAGUCUGGAGUGAAAGCCCGGGGCUCAACCCCGGGACUGCUUUGGAAACUGUGGAACUGGAGUGCAGGAGAGGUAAGUGGAAUUCCUAGUGUAGCGGUGAAAUGCGUAGAUAUUAGGAGGAACACCAGUGGCGAAGGCGGCUUACUGGACUGUAACUGACGUUGAGGCUCGAAAGCGUGGGGAGC
This 229-nucleotide ribosomal RNA is filed under the name uncultured bacterium. RNAcentral describes it as "partial 16S ribosomal RNA". It matches the Rfam family "Bacterial small subunit ribosomal RNA", at positions 541 to 769 of the family's 1533-position model. The record is from RNAcentral.